GCGUCAUUAGCUCAGAUGGUAGAGCACACGACUUUUAAUCGUGUUGUCACAGGUUCGACUCCUGUAUGACGCACCA
RNAcentral lists this transfer RNA (76 nucleotides) under Fusobacteriaceae bacterium. RNAcentral's name for it is "tRNA-Lys". It matches the Rfam family "tRNA". Rfam says of the family: Transfer RNA (tRNA) molecules are approximately 80 nucleotides in length. Their secondary structure includes four short double-helical elements and three loops (D, anti-codon, and T loops). RNAcentral also lists the same sequence under 1 other name. Lineage: Bacteria; Fusobacteriati; Fusobacteriota; Fusobacteriia; Fusobacteriales; Fusobacteriaceae. The record is from RNAcentral.